RNAcentral lists this ribosomal RNA (443 nucleotides) under uncultured bacterium. RNAcentral describes it as "partial 16S ribosomal RNA". It matches the Rfam family "Bacterial small subunit ribosomal RNA", at positions 338 to 795 of the family's 1533-position model. The record is from RNAcentral.
CCUACGGGGGGCAGCAGUGGGGAAUAUUGGGCAAUGGGCGCAAGCCUGACCCAGCAACGCCGCGUGAAGGAAGAAGGCCUUCGGGUUGUAAACUUCUUUUGUCAGGGACGAAGAAAGUGACGGUACCUGACGAAUAAGCCACGGCUAACUACGUGCCAGCAGGCGCGGUAAUACGUAGGUGGCAAGCGUUAUCCGGAUUUACGGGGUGUAAAGGGCGUGUAGGGGGGAGUGUAAGUCGGACGGGAAAUUCCAGGGCUCAACCCUGGAACUGCGUUUGAAACUGUUCUUCUUGAGUGAUGGGGAGGCAAGCGGAAUGCCGUGUGUAGCGGUGAAAUGCGUAGAUAUACGGAGGAACACCAGUGGCGAAGGCAGCCUGCUGGACAUAUACUGACGCUGAGGCGCGAAAGCGUGGGGAGCAAACAGGAUUAGAUACCCCUGUAGUC